Molecule: long non-coding RNA, 473 nt
Filed under: Pan troglodytes (chimpanzee)
Lineage: Eukaryota; Metazoa; Chordata; Mammalia; Primates; Hominidae
Description: long non-coding RNA NONPTRT012577
Source: RNAcentral
CCAGUUCUUAUUGGGAAGUCAAAAGAUCCAUCCUGUGUUGCAAAAGUUUCUGAAGAGGGGAAACCUGCGAUAGGGCCUCAGAAAAUGGAGUUACAUGUGAGGUGGAGGUCAGACACAGGCAAAUGUGUAGAUGCUUCACCGCUGGUUGUAAUACCCACUUUUGAUAAGUCAUCUACAACUGUGUACAUUGGUUCCCAUUCUCAUAGAAUGAAGGCAGUUGACUUUUACUCUGGGAAGGUAAAAUGGGAACAGAUUUUGGGAGAUCGAAUUGAAUCCUCAGCAUGUGUAUCUAAGUGUGGAAACUUUAUUGUGGUGGGCUACUGGGAACGUUAUUUGGAAACAUUCCUGUGGAAAACCACUCUUCUCUUCCCCACGAUGUUGCUCACAGUAUAUUUGUAUUGGCUGUGUAGAUGGGAAUUUACUCUGCUUUACUCACUUUGGAGAACAGGUUUGGCAGUUCUCUACCAGUGGAC